UACGGAGGGGGCGAGCGUUAUUCGGAAUUAUUGGGCGUAAAGGGCGCGUAGGCGGCUGUACAAGUUAAAGGUGAAAUCCCUCGGCUCAACUGAGGAACUGCCUUUGAAACUGUACGGCUUGAGGCCGGGAGGGGGUAGCGGAAUUCCCAGUGUAGCGGUGAAAUGCGUAGAUACUGGGAGGAACACCAGUGGCGAAGGCGACUACCUGGCCUGCUCUUGACGCUGAGGCGCGAAAGCUAGGGGAGCAAACGGG
RNAcentral lists this ribosomal RNA (253 nucleotides) under uncultured bacterium. RNAcentral describes it as "partial 16S ribosomal RNA". It matches the Rfam family "Bacterial small subunit ribosomal RNA", at positions 524 to 776 of the family's 1533-position model. The record is from RNAcentral.